GACGAACGCUGGCGGCGUGCUUAAUACAUGCAAGUCGAGCGGUGAACCCGACUGAAAGCCUUCGGGCUUGACGUUGGGGGAUCAGCGGCGGAUGGGUGAGUAACGCGUGGGUACCUGCCCUAAAGUCUGGGAUAACAACUCGAAAGGGUUGCUAAUACCGGAUGUGACCGAGAGGUUAAAGGCAGAGAUGUCGCUUUAGGAUGGGCCCGCGUCCCAUUAGCUAGUUGGUGAGGUAAGGGCUCACCAAGGCUGCGAUGGGUAGCCGGCCUGAGAGGGUGGACGGCCACACUGGGACUGAGACACGGCCCAGACUCCUACGGGAGGCGGCAGUAGGGAAUUUUCCGCAAUGGACGGAAGUCUGACGGAGCGACGCCGCGUGGGGGAAGAAGGCCUUCGGGUUGUAAACCUCUGUCUUCAGGGACGAAGAGGGUGUGGGAGACACACCGAAGCCGGUACCUGAGGAGGAAGCCCCGGCUAACUACGUG
This 485-nucleotide ribosomal RNA is filed under the name uncultured bacterium. RNAcentral describes it as "bacterial SSU rRNA". It matches the Rfam family "Bacterial small subunit ribosomal RNA", at positions 28 to 507 of the family's 1533-position model. The record is from RNAcentral.